UACAGAGGUCUCAAGCGUUGUUCGGAUUCAUUGGGCGUAUAGGGUGCGUAGGCGGCGCGGUAAGUCGGGUGUGAAAUCUCGGGGCUUAACUCCGAAACUGCAUUCGAUACUGCCGUGCUUGAGGACUGGAGAGGAGACUGGAAUUUACGGUGUAGCGGUGAAAUGCGUAGAUAUCGUAAGGAAGACCAGUGGCGAAGGCGGGUCUCUGGACAGUUCCUGACGCUGAGGCACGAAGGCCAGGGGAGCAAACAGG
This 253-nucleotide ribosomal RNA is filed under the name uncultured bacterium. RNAcentral's name for it is "partial 16S ribosomal RNA". It matches the Rfam family "Bacterial small subunit ribosomal RNA", at positions 524 to 776 of the family's 1533-position model. The record is from RNAcentral.